This 254-nucleotide ribosomal RNA is filed under the name uncultured bacterium. RNAcentral's name for it is "partial 16S ribosomal RNA". It matches the Rfam family "Bacterial small subunit ribosomal RNA", at positions 524 to 776 of the family's 1533-position model. The record is from RNAcentral.
UACGUAGGGUGCGAGCGUUGUCCGGAAUUAUUGGGCGUAAAGAGCUCGUAGGCGGUCUGUCGCGUCGAUCGUGAAAACUUGGGGCUUAACCCUGAGCUUGCGGUCGAUACGGGCAUGACUGGAGUUCGGCAGGGGAGACUGGAAUUCCUGGUGUAGCGGUGAAAUGCGCAGAUAUCGGGAGGAACACCGGUGGCGAAAGCGGCGCACUGGACCACAACUGACGCUGAGGCGCGAAAGCUAGGGGAGCAAACAGG